UACGUAGGUGGCAAGCGUUGUCCGGAUUUACUGGGCGUAAAGGAUGCGUAGGCGGUUGUUUAUGUGAGAUGUGAAAUACCCGAGCUCAACUUGGGUGCUGCAUUUCAAACUGGAUAUCUAGAGUGCAGGAGAGGAAAGCGGAAUUCCUAGUGUAGCGGUGAAAUGCGUAGAGAUUAGGAAGAACACCAGUGGCGAAGGCGGCUUUCUGGACUGUAACUGACGCUGAGGCAUGAAAGCGUGGGGAGCAAACAGG
This 253-nucleotide ribosomal RNA is filed under the name uncultured bacterium. RNAcentral describes it as "partial 16S ribosomal RNA". It matches the Rfam family "Bacterial small subunit ribosomal RNA", at positions 524 to 776 of the family's 1533-position model. The record is from RNAcentral.